Cydia splendana is the source of this 214-nucleotide long non-coding RNA. RefSeq lists it as uncharacterized. The record is from RefSeq and is a predicted model, not a curated record. Lineage: Eukaryota; Metazoa; Arthropoda; Insecta; Lepidoptera; Tortricidae. The transcript is spliced from 2 exons.
GCGCUGGUGGCCUAGCGGUAAGAGCGUGCGACUUUCAAUCCGAAGGUCGCGGGUUCAAACCCCGGCUCGUACCAAUGAGUUUUUCGGAACUUAUGUACGAAAUAUCAUUUGAUAUUUACCAGUCGCUUUUUGGUGAAGGAAAACAUCGUGAGGAAACCGGACUAAUCCCAAUAAGGCCUAGUUUCCCCUCUGGGUUGAAAGAUCAGAUGGCAGU